This is a long non-coding RNA of Hylaeus volcanicus, 820 nucleotides long. RefSeq lists it as uncharacterized. Lineage: Eukaryota; Metazoa; Arthropoda; Insecta; Hymenoptera; Colletidae. The transcript has 3 exons. The record is from RefSeq and is a predicted model, not a curated record.
UCAGUAAAGAAUAAAAGAAAAACGUGGUAGGGGAAUAAGGGGUAAGACAGGGUUGUGAGGAAUACUGGGAAUGUAUCAUUUAUACAAAAGGAGGCGUUUGGAGUAUCUGAAACUGAUAAGGCCUACAACCUCCUAGGUCCAGAGCCAGGAGACCUUAGGCUUGGCAAACCAGCCAGAUGAAGCUGUAAUAAACAACAUUAGGACAUCACCUCGUAAAAAAUUUACCAUACUGUCAGUUUGUAUAGGUGGGAGGAACUAUGAUUCUUUUAAACUAUGAUCGAUCUAGUACCCAAGGCCAGCCCUUAAGGAAUCAUAGUUGAGCAAGUAGCCACCUCCACGUUGAUUCUCGCUGUGAAUACAAGAAUACCCUGGUAUUGUUUGUGUCUUGAAAAGGGAGAAGGAAAUACCCAAGAAUAAACGUGUUUAAACUGCAAGAGACUAGAAUUAAACGGAGUCUUUCGUUGCCGUCGAUGAAUAACGAAGAGAAAGCUAGUUGUUACGAUCAUCCCUGACUUGAAUGGCCAGGUGUUGGAAAAACAAAGUUCAGGGGUAUUCAGACAACUCUAGAACUACAAAGCUGAGUAAAAUGAUCUUCCAACCAUGACUUCUUUCUAAAAUUAGUGGAUUAUUGAGGAAGAGUUUACUGGAAUUUCUGGCGACAAUUAUUGCAAUAGGGAAGUAGGUUUAUACUAAUUGAUUCGCCCUUCCACUCUCUAUUUUCAAUAAUGUAGUAGUGUGCAAAAGAAGUAAUAGUUUCAUGUUGGUAGUUUUAGUGUUAAGUAGUGUAGGUGAAUCCCUUCAAUUCAGUAAAUAAUUUAUU